UACGGGGGGAGCAAGCGUUGUUCGGAUUUACUGGGCGUAAAGGGCGCGUAGGCGGCCUCCGCAAGUCAGUUGUGAAAUCUCCGAGCUUAACUCGGAAAGGUCAACUGAUACUGCGGGGCUAGAGUGCGGAAGGGGCAACUGGAAUUCUUGGUGUAGCGGUGAAAUGCGUAGAUAUCAAGAGGAACACCUGAGGUGAAGACGGGUUGCUGGGCUGACACUGACGCUGAGGCGCGAAAGCUAGGGUAGCAAACGGG
This 254-nucleotide ribosomal RNA is filed under the name uncultured bacterium. RNAcentral's name for it is "partial 16S ribosomal RNA". It matches the Rfam family "Bacterial small subunit ribosomal RNA", at positions 524 to 776 of the family's 1533-position model. The record is from RNAcentral.